This 1623-nucleotide long non-coding RNA is filed under the name Equus caballus (horse). Its description in RNAcentral is "lncRNA (ENSECAG00000040982.2)". The record is from RNAcentral. Lineage: Eukaryota; Metazoa; Chordata; Mammalia; Perissodactyla; Equidae.
CAGGAAGGUAUAUAUAGGGAGACCAGGAGCCCUGGGGCAGCCCACUCAGAGUCUUCAACAUGGCUGAAAUCACCUGUAAGCCACAGGAGUUUAGCACAGAUAGGGACCAACCAACCACAAGCAUGGACCAACCAACCAGAAGUGGGAAACAGCCACUCCCAAGCAUGGAAUAGUCGACCCAAGUGCAGAACAAGCAUCCACAAGUGCUCUAGAAAGGAAGGAGUGGAAGGCUCCCUGUCAAUGCAAGUGCAGAGACAGUGCCAAGGUGUGGAAAACAGCUGAGUGAGUAGAAAUGCCCCUGCAAGCAUGUGCAGCCUAAAGAUCCUUUGAAAUAUCUAUCGUCCAUUUGAAAAAGCACAAGAAAGAAACAAGACCAACAAUAUUUGUCUGUUACCACCACCAAGAGAGUAAAUCAAAAUAAGAGUUGGAAUAAGUUAGAGCAGAAACAAGAGACCCCAGAGAACUCUGCCAAUCCAAGUAAUAUACGGUGUUAGAGAGGCCUGGAGACCUACAACAGUCUGCUUCGUCUCCAGAGUUGCCUGUGGAGAAAUUGUCAGCCACGUAGAAACCUAAUGUUACAGCAAUAGGGUACACAGAUGGUGAUGACUAAAAUAAAAUCAACAAGAUAUGAAAAAUAAAAACAAGGAAGGGCACCUCUUCUUGCUUCUCCUAUACUCCUUUCCCAUCUUUAACCAACACAAAUAUUUUGAGCACCUUUCUGUAUACCAAGCACUGUGCUACCUACUGGGAAUAGAGCAACCAACAAGACAGCUGGAAGAGAAAGGACACAGUUUAAAAAGUGAUGUGAAAGACCUUAGAGAUUGGGGUCUGUUCCCAAGGGUAAGAUUUCUCAAGGCCUUUUGCCCAGAACAUCUUCCUUUCCUCUUGAAAUCAUAAGAAAGAGAUAACUCGCACUGAGAACAAAGACCAGACAAACCUUGACAGGAGUUUCAAGAGAGGGCAUUGAGGAAGAUGAGUAAGACUGCUCAGUGUGGCUCAGGUGGUGAACUAUGCCAGCCUGAUGUCACCGAUGAAGUCACUGACCCAGGGACCACAGAGGAGAUUCUUAAGAUGACUAGGAAGUCUGAAAUCUAAGCAUAGGGACAGAUGGCCAAUGAAAAUAAUGAAUGCUUGAGACACUCAUGCAUAGAUGAACACAAGAAGCAGGGGCAGUUUUGCCUAACCCAACUCGGUUACUACAGGAAUCAGCUCUUAGUGCAUACUAAAGCAGUAUUCCAAGUGCAGGGGACUACAGGUAGACUCGACUGUUCUGAUGAGACUGCAAGAUGGGUUUCCACUCUGUGGAGUGCGGGAUAUAUAUAUAUCUAUGAAUGUGCAAAAGGAAAAUGACAAAGGUAGCUGACAGCUAAGAGAAAUAGCAGUACAAAUUAAAACAAAAAACAAAACAAAAAUAGCCUCAGUUGUUGUGUAACCUCCCAUAACUGACAACAGGAUGUUAAAGCUGUAUUUUCGGGGUCUGCCAGCCAGCCAGGAGCAUGCGCAGAGGAGAAAAUUUGGAUCUGCCAAUCGAAACUCAUCCUGCCAGCACUUCUGCAUACCAGCCUGCCCUCCCUGAUCCCUUAAACCUAACCUCUGGAUCAGGGAGACAGAGUUGAGAGCCUG